GGAAUCUAAGAAUCCGUCUUUUAACUUUUAAUUAAAAAAACUAAGAACCGGUUUUUAAAUAUCUUAUUUAAAAAUCGAUUUUUAAUUUUUUAAGUUAAAAGUUAAGAGACGAAUUCUUAUAUUUC
Molecule: non-coding RNA, 125 nt
Organism: Brassica napus (rape)
Lineage: Eukaryota; Viridiplantae; Streptophyta; Magnoliopsida; Brassicales; Brassicaceae
Source: Rfam